UGAGGAGUAUUGCACAAUGGGCGCAAGCCUGAUGCAGCAACGCCGCGUGAGGGACGAAGGCCUUCGGGUCGUAAACCUCUUUUCUGGGGGACGAGUAAGGACGGUACCUCAGGAAUAAGUCUCGGCUAACUACGUGCCAGCAGCCGCGGUAAAACGUAGGAGGCGAGCGUUAUCCGGAUUUACUGGGCGUAAAGCGUACGCAGGUGGCUUCGUGAGUCGGACAUGAAAGCUCCCGGCUUAACUGGGAGAGGUUGUUCGAUACUGCGAGGCUUGAGGUUGGGAGAGGGACGUGGAAUUCCCGGUGUAGUGGUGGAAUGCGUAGAUAUCGGGAGGAACACCAGUGGCGCAAGCGGCGUCCUGGCCCACACCUGACGCUGAGGUACGAAAGCGUGGGUAGCAA
RNAcentral lists this ribosomal RNA (400 nucleotides) under uncultured bacterium. RNAcentral's name for it is "bacterial SSU rRNA". It matches the Rfam family "Bacterial small subunit ribosomal RNA", at positions 355 to 771 of the family's 1533-position model. The record is from RNAcentral.